Molecule: ribosomal RNA, 514 nt
Filed under: Nemania primolutea
Lineage: Eukaryota; Fungi; Ascomycota; Sordariomycetes; Xylariales; Xylariaceae
Description: eukaryotic LSU rRNA
Rfam family: 5.8S ribosomal RNA (bases 154-307)
Source: RNAcentral
UGUGAACAUACCUUCUGUUGCCUCGGCAGGCCUCGCCUACCCUCGUAGCCCCCUACACCGUAGGGCCUACGCCGGGUGGUGCGCGGACCCUGCCGGCGGCCCGCGAAACUCUGUUUAGCACUGAAUCUCUGAACAUAUAACUAAAUAAGUUAAAACUUUCAACAACGGAUCUCUUGGUUCUGGCAUCGAUGAAGAACGCAGCGAAAUGCGAUAAGUAAUGUGAAUUGCAGAAUUCAGUGAAUCAUCGAAUCUUUGAACGCACAUUGCGCCCAUUAGUAUUCUAGUGGGCAUGCCUGUUCGAGCGUCAUUUCAACCCUUAAGCCCCUGUUGCUUAGCGUUGGGAGCCUACGGCAGCGUAGCUCCCCAAAGUUAGUGGCGUGGUCGGUUCACACUCCAGACGUAGUAGAUUUUCGUCUCGCCUGUAGUUGGACCGGUCCCCUGCCGUAAAACACCCCAAUUCUAAAAGGUUGACCUCGGAUCAGGUAGGAAUACCCGCUGAACUUAAGCAUAUCAA